RNAcentral lists this ribosomal RNA (508 nucleotides) under Ligilactobacillus agilis. Its description in RNAcentral is "bacterial SSU rRNA". It matches the Rfam family "Bacterial small subunit ribosomal RNA", at positions 49 to 526 of the family's 1533-position model. The record is from RNAcentral. Lineage: Bacteria; Bacillati; Bacillota; Bacilli; Lactobacillales; Lactobacillaceae.
UAAUACAUGCAAGUCGAACGCUUUUUUCAAUCAUCGUAGCUUGCUACACCGAUUGAAAAUUGAGUGGCGAACGGGUGAGUAACACGUGGGUAACCUGCCCAAAAGAGGGGGAUAACACUUGGAAACAGGUGCUAAUACCGCAUAACCAUGAUGACCGCAUGGUCAUUAUGUAAAAGAUGGUUUCGGCUAUCACUUUUGGAUGGACCCGCGGCGUAUUAACUUGUUGGUGGGGUAACGGCCUACCAAGGUAAUGAUACGUAGCCGAACUGAGAGGUUGAUCGGCCACAUUGGGACUGAGACACGGCCCAAACUCCUACGGGAGGCAGCAGUAGGGAAUCUUCCACAAUGGGCGCAAGCCUGAUGGAGCAACGCCGCGUGAGUGAAGAAGGUCUUCGGAUCGUAAAACUCUGUUGUUAGAGAAGAACAUGCAAGAGAGUAACUGUUCUUGUAUUGACGGUAUCUAACCAGAAAGCCACGGCUAACUACGUGCCAGCAGCCGCGGUAAUAC